This is a long non-coding RNA of Phragmites australis (common reed), 906 nucleotides long. RefSeq lists it as uncharacterized. The transcript has 4 exons. The record is from RefSeq and is a predicted model, not a curated record. NCBI's taxonomy places the organism in Eukaryota, Viridiplantae, Streptophyta, Magnoliopsida, Poales, Poaceae.
GGUCCUCUCUCUCCUCUCAUUUCUCCCACCGGCUCUCUCCUCCCUCUCACCUCCUUUGACUAUCUUGUUCUCCUCUCCAUAGUGCUGAGCUUGCCGCUGGCGAGCCGGUAAAGAACCAUGCAAGAGGAGGCGGCACAGAUCCAUGGUGGCCACGGCUGUCCACAGCAAGGCCAGUACAAGGAGAUUGUCGUGGGCCAUCCAUGGUGAGGCCAGUACAGGGACCUCGUCGUCGGUCAGAUCUGCACCGCCUCCUCUCCGUCAGCCAUCGCCAGAGUACCUGACGGCCAGAUCCACCCCUCGCCUUGUCGGAUCCGUGCAUGGACGGAUUGGCUCCUCAUCGGUUGCCAUGAGGGAAGGCUCCAACGAAUUCAUGCAAGACAGCGUACCAGUCAACCAGAUCCACCCCUCCCUCUGUUGAAUCCGUAUGGGAUGAGGUGGAUGGGGACUGGAUCCAGCGAGAUUUCCUCUAGGGAGGCGAUAAAUAAGACCAAGUAAAAGGAGAAGUCCUGUUCUUGAGGCGAUUGCGGCCAGGAAAGCCAGCGGCGUGCUCGCUGCGUCCUCGGCGAUGAAGUACGUCUCCAGGCCGUACUUCGUCCACUCCUCGACCGCUUCGGCACCCUCGGGGUUGUCGUCGACAAUGAGACGCGCGAGGACUGCACGCUCGUGAAGGUUGACAGCGUGAACCGGGAUGGCAGAUGGUGCAGCUGCUCACCGAUCUCGACCUCGUCAUCUCCAAGUCCUACAUCUCUUCCGACGGCGGCUGGCUCAUGGAUGGCAAGAACUGGGUUUGACUGGGCAUGCUGACUAAGCAUGUUUGGCCGAUGUGGCAUGACACUUUAGCGGAUUUACUGACGUGGCAGGGAGAGGUGGCAUAAUGAUGUGGCUUCAGUGCUAACUGGACUUAUG